Molecule: non-coding RNA, 84 nt
Organism: Plectosphaerella cucumerina
Lineage: Eukaryota; Fungi; Ascomycota; Sordariomycetes; Glomerellales; Plectosphaerellaceae
Source: the annotation of a GenBank genome assembly
GGCCGCGUGGCUCAAUUGGCAGAGUAUCUGACUUCGAUCCGAAGUUUCAUCAGAAGGCUGCAGGUUCGAUCCCUGCCGCGGUCA